AGGUUUUUGUACGGCCACUUAAUGAGUUUGUAUCACUGUGGUGGACUUUUGGUGGAGGAACCAAACUCAUCAUUAACUCUGGCACCAUGGUCAGGCCCUCAGUCUCUCUGCUUCCCCCCUCCUCUGAGCAGCUCUCUGGGGGCUCGGCCACGCUGGCCUGCCUGCUGACCGGCUACUCUCCUCAGGGAGCCGUGGUGAGCUGGCAGGUGGACGGUACGGAGGUGACGGAGGGGGUCCUGAGCAGCUCAGAGGAGGAGAAGAGCGGCCGCUACAGCAGCAGCAGCACCCUGAGCCUGAGCCAGGAGCGCUGGAUGGAAGGAGAGCUGUACUCCUGCAGGGUCCUCCAUCAGGGCCACAGCCAGACCCAGUCCCUCCACAGGAGCCAGUGUAAGGGCUAGAGGGGCCGGCUGAAGCCCAGGACAGGAGCUCUGUGUGGGGGGGAGCAGCUCUGAUCAAUAGCAGUUUGAAUGCUUGUAGAGGAAACUGAAGCUUUGUGUGACAGAGAACAACACUGCUGUAAAGUGUUGGACAACAACAACUUAGAGAGGAAUGUGUGUCGCUCAGC
Non-coding RNA from Sebastes umbrosus (honeycomb rockfish), 565 nucleotides. NCBI's taxonomy places the organism in Eukaryota, Metazoa, Chordata, Actinopteri, Perciformes, Sebastidae. The record is from the annotation of a RefSeq genome assembly.